Molecule: ribosomal RNA, 406 nt
Filed under: uncultured bacterium
Lineage: Bacteria
Description: partial 16S ribosomal RNA
Rfam family: Bacterial small subunit ribosomal RNA
Source: RNAcentral
AUUGAACGCUGGCGGCAGGCCUAACACAUGCAAGUCGAACGAGUGGCGGACGGGUGAGUAAUGCUUGGGAAUCUGCCUUAUGGAGGGGGAUAACGACGGGAAACUGUAGCUAAUACCGCGUACCAUAGGAUGAGCCCAAGUGGGAUUAGGUAGUUGUUGGGGUAAUGGCUCACCAAGCCGACGAUCUCUAGCUGGUCUGAGAGGAUGCCCAGCCACACGGGGACUGAGACACGGCCCGGACUCCUACGGGAGGCAGCAGUGGGGAAUAUUGCGCAAUGGGCGCAACCCUGACGCAGCCAUGCCGCGUGAAUGAAGAAGGCCUUCGGGUUGUAAAGUACUUUCGGUGGCGAGGCGUUAAUCGCAGAAGAAGCACCGGCUAACUCCGUGCCAGCAGCCGCGGUAAUAC